Molecule: long non-coding RNA, 369 nt
Organism: Sorex fumeus (smoky shrew)
Lineage: Eukaryota; Metazoa; Chordata; Mammalia; Eulipotyphla; Soricidae
Exons: 2
Source: RefSeq, a predicted model, not a curated record
AAACACCAAUCUCUCCCAUGAGCUUCAUCCCAGACACAGCCAGAGAUAGUGUUCCAUAAGCCACCUGGACUUCCAUUAGUCCAGUCAAGUUGCACACAAAAGUAACUAUCACAAAUAACUGCAGUUGAAAGAGAAGUCUCCACGUCUUCUCUACCAGUUGAUGUUUAUCAGAGGACAACAGAGGAAGAGGGGGCAGAGUGCCCCAACAGAUGUGUUAAUCAAGAGCACCCUGCCUCUAAAAGGAAGUGUUAAGGAUAAUGUUUUUGACAUUAAGAGAUGCCUUAAAGUUGAUGUGGGAAAAGAUUUGGUUAAACAAGACCCGCAGGCUGAAUCUGACCUGUCUUUGUAAUAAAGUUUUAUUGUAACACA